RNAcentral lists this ribosomal RNA (459 nucleotides) under uncultured bacterium. RNAcentral's name for it is "partial 16S ribosomal RNA". It matches the Rfam family "Bacterial small subunit ribosomal RNA", at positions 339 to 795 of the family's 1533-position model. The record is from RNAcentral.
CUACGGGUUGCAGCAGUAAGGAAUAUUGCGCAAUGGAGGCAACUCUGACGCAGCCAUGCCGCGUGCAGGAAGAAGGCCUUAUGGGUCGUAAACUGCUUUUAUUUAGGAAUAAACCCCCGAACGUGUUCGGGGCUGAAGGUACUAAACGAAUAAGCACCGGCUAACUCCGUGCCAGCAGCCGCGGUAAUACGGAGGGUGCAGGCGUUAUCCGGAUUUAUUGGGUUUAAAGGGUGCGCAGGCGGGCUAUUAAGUCAGUGGUGAAAUCCCGGGGCUCAACUCCGGAACUGCCAUUGAUACUGAUAGUCUUGAGUUUGGUUGAAGUGGGCGGAAUGUAGCAUGUAGCGGUGAAAUGCAUAGAUAUGCUACAGAACACCAAUUGCGAAGGCAGCUCACUAAGCCAAAACUGACGCUCAUGCACGAAAGCGUGGGGAUCAAACAGGAUUAGAUACCCGCGUAGUC